GCAUUGGUGGUUCAGUGGUAGUAAUCCCGCCUACCACGCGGGAGCCCCGGGUUAGAUUCCCAGCCAAUGCA
Molecule: non-coding RNA, 71 nt
Organism: Dallia pectoralis (Alaska blackfish)
Lineage: Eukaryota; Metazoa; Chordata; Actinopteri; Esociformes; Umbridae
Source: the annotation of a GenBank genome assembly